UCCGCGGUAGCUCAAUGGUAGAGCAGUUGCCUGUUAAGCAUCUGGUUGGAGGUUCGAAUCCUCCCCGCGGAGCCA
Molecule: transfer RNA, 75 nt
Filed under: Candidatus Beckwithbacteria bacterium CG10_big_fil_rev_8_21_14_0_10_34_10
Lineage: Bacteria; Candidatus Beckwithiibacteriota
Description: tRNA-Asn
Rfam family: tRNA
About the family: Transfer RNA (tRNA) molecules are approximately 80 nucleotides in length. Their secondary structure includes four short double-helical elements and three loops (D, anti-codon, and T loops).
Source: RNAcentral